ACAGUGGACGCGAGCAUCUGUGGCCAAGUUUUUAAGGGCGCACGGUGGAUGCCUUGGCACUAGGA
RNAcentral lists this ribosomal RNA (65 nucleotides) under Streptomyces rubellomurinus subsp. indigoferus. RNAcentral describes it as "partial 23S ribosomal RNA". The record is from RNAcentral. Lineage: Bacteria; Bacillati; Actinomycetota; Actinomycetes; Kitasatosporales; Streptomycetaceae.